GUGAAUCAUCAAAUCUUUGAACGCAAAUUGCACUCUCUUCGGAGAGUAUGCCUGUUUGAGGGUCAGUAUUAAUAAAAAUCGGUGUGUUGCUUCUUUGUGACGCUCCGGAGUUUGGGUCAUCUUAAUAUCCUUAGGUUUUAAGAGGCUUAAAAUUGACUUUUUUUGCGCAUUUUUGAAGUAAAAUAAUUCUUUUUUUUAUUCGGUUGUUUUAAUUCUCAAAAUCCUAUUUGAUUCC
This 235-nucleotide unclassified non-coding RNA is filed under the name Rhizophagus sp. (in: glomeromycetes). Its description in RNAcentral is "partial contains 5.8S ribosomal RNA and internal transcribed spacer 2". The stretch from base 1 to 65 matches the Rfam family "5.8S ribosomal RNA", at positions 84 to 154 of the family's 154-position model. Lineage: Eukaryota; Fungi; Glomeromycota; Glomeromycetes; Glomerales; Glomeraceae. The record is from RNAcentral.